Molecule: long non-coding RNA, 376 nt
Filed under: Panax ginseng (ginseng)
Lineage: Eukaryota; Viridiplantae; Streptophyta; Magnoliopsida; Apiales; Araliaceae
Description: long non-coding RNA (PGIN_LNC003148)
Source: RNAcentral
CCCGGGUCACAAAAAAGAAUUACGUUCUCUCUCUCACUCUUUCCUCUCUCUCAAAGCGACCUUUCCCUCCCCCUUUCAAAGCGAGCAGAAGACUCCCUUAGAAGACUCCCUCACUUGCGUUUCAACCAAUAGUCGAAGCUUCACAUUCAGAAGACUCCCUCUCGCAAACUCAAUUUUUCGAUUCUCUCUCCCCAUAUGAAAUUCGCAAUUCUCCGAACCCCUUUUCUCGAUUCUCUCGCGAAGCUAGGGUUUGCAUCAUAGAAGCAACAAAUCAUCCUACUGAUCCUGAAGCAGACGAAGGUAAAGAUUGCUACUUAAUUUUGUAAUUUUUGUUUUGGGGUUUGUUUUGCUACAAAGAUCUAGGGUUUGUUUUGGG